Molecule: microRNA precursor, 95 nt
Filed under: Pelodiscus sinensis (Chinese soft-shelled turtle)
Lineage: Eukaryota; Metazoa; Chordata; Testudines; Trionychidae
Description: miRNA (ENSPSIG00000019584.1)
Source: RNAcentral
CCCGGGUGGUCCCCCCUUGCCUGGCUCGGGCCCCAGGCUGCUCUGUGGAGGGCGGGGGGGGGAGGCUGAGGGAGGGCGGGCGCCAGGCGCGGAGG